UGCCUUUUAAAUGAAGGCCUGUAUGAAUGGCAUAACGAGGGCUUAACUGUCUCUUUCUCCCUAUCAAUGAAAUUGAUCUCCCCGUGCAGAAGCGGGGAUACUAACAUAAGACGAGAAGACCCUGUGGAGCUUUAGACCAAAAGUGGACCAUGUUAAAGAUAUAAGAAAAAUUCAUCAAACAAAUUGGGCUCUACUCUAGUGUCUUUGGUUGGGGCGACCGCGGGGUAAUGAUUAACCCCCAUGAGGAUUGAGAAUAUGAUUUUUAAAUCUAAGAAUUUCCAUUCCAAGAAACAGAACAUCUGACCUUUAUGAUCCGGACCUUCCGAUCAACGAACCUAGUUACCCCAGGGAUAACAGCGCAAUCCUCUUUUAGAGCCCAUAUCGACAAGGGGGUUUACGACCUCGAUGUUGGAUCAGGACAUCCUAAUGGUGCAGCCGCUAUUAAGGGUUUGUUUGUUCAACAAUUAAAGU
Molecule: ribosomal RNA, 471 nt
Filed under: Oryzias dancena
Lineage: Eukaryota; Metazoa; Chordata; Actinopteri; Beloniformes; Adrianichthyidae
Description: partial 16S ribosomal RNA
Rfam family: Bacterial large subunit ribosomal RNA
Source: RNAcentral